This is a long non-coding RNA of Ostrea edulis (European flat oyster), 240 nucleotides long. RefSeq lists it as uncharacterized. The record is from RefSeq and is a predicted model, not a curated record. Lineage: Eukaryota; Metazoa; Mollusca; Bivalvia; Ostreida; Ostreidae. The transcript has 2 exons.
AGACCAUAUAUCACUCUCGUGCUUAAAACACUCACAAUCAAUAAGCAGCAGAGGACAGCUCUUGGGAAUUUCAUAAUAGAAAUUAGUGAAUGUUUGGAAAGAUGAAGAGUAAAUGAUCAGCGAGGAACAAUUCAGGAUUGAACAACAGAAAUAUAUGGCUAUCAUUUUGUCUUCAUCAAAUAUUGGACUGUAUGAGUCAUAGUUAUAUUGCUAAUUUUGUCACACCACAGACAAAUAAAA